CCUACGGGAGGCUGCAGUGAGGAAUAUUGGUCAAUGGACGAGAGUCUGAACCAGCCAAGUAGCGUGAAGGAUGACUGCCCUAUGGGUUGUAAACUUCUUUUAUAUGGGAAUAAAGUGUUCCACGUGUGGGAUUUUGUAUGUACCAUAUGAAUAAGGAUCGGCUAACUCCGUGCCAGCAGCCGCGGUAAUACGGAGGAUCCGAGCGUUAUCCGGAUUUAUUGGGUUUAACGGGAGCGUAGGUGGAUUGUUAAGUCAGUUGUGAAAGUUUGCGGCUCAACCGUAAAAUUGCAGUUGAAACUGGCAGUCUUGAGUACAGUAGAGGUGGGCGGAAUUCGUGGUGUAGCGGUGAAAUGCUUAGAUAUCACGAAGAACUCCGAUUGCGAAGGCAGUUCACUGUACUGCAACUGACACUGAGGCUCGAAAGUGUGGGUAUCAAACAGGAUUAGAUACCCGAGUAGUC
Molecule: ribosomal RNA, 460 nt
Filed under: uncultured bacterium
Lineage: Bacteria
Description: partial 16S ribosomal RNA
Rfam family: Bacterial small subunit ribosomal RNA
Source: RNAcentral